CUGGUUUCUGUCUUCCUUUCUUUCCUUUUCGCUUGGCCUGUUUGGGAAUAAUAUUUCCGGAAUAUGUAACCUUAAUUAAAUAUUGGAAGCUCCUUUACAUAUAUUGAUCAUGUCGAGGAAGAAAGAAUGUCAAGAUUUCUCUCGUAAUGCCGACGACCCAACUGCCAGUCCCAACUCAGGCCCUGGUCUUAUUCCAGAUGUAAAAUUAUGAAGUCCACAUUAUUCAACAUUUGGAAAAUUUUUAUCUUCUUGGGGGCUAUCCAUAUAAAUAUUACGUCAUCAAAAAGUCACGAUUUUUGCACACACCAACCCAACGUAUCCACUAAUCCUAAGGGAUAGGGAAUUUUAGCAUAUCAAGGAUAAUAAGCCCUAAACCACCUACCCACUAAAAUGAUGACGUAAUACAUGGACGUUCCCUUGUAUAAUUCCACAUCUCUGCAAAUUCCUUGUAAUCAAAGACAUAAAAGAUUGUCGCCUAGUCUGCAAAUCUUGGAAUUAUGAAGCUACCCCCGUGCUAAAGGAGAGGACACUGAUCAACAUCCGACUCGAUGCAGGAACUUAUGGUAAAACACCCCCCAAGGAGUGGGAAUUGGAUGAAAGAAUUGCGGAAAAACUCAGCUUCAACACCAAUAUUAAAAUCUCCGCAAAUAAAUCCUUGUCACCACCCAAAAAUUUGCAAGACUUUCCCCCCAUCAGAAAUCUCAAAUCAAUUUUGGUCCAAAUUAAGAUAACGGAACAAUGGCAGAAGGACUUUUGUAACGAAAUUAUCCUCGGUUCGGCCCCCACUCUGGAAGAAUUGCAAUUGCAUUGCGAUCAAAAUUUCCCUUCUUUCAGUGCCACCGUUUUCCCAAGAUUGAAGAAACUCGUGAUCAAUGGUGGCCGGACUCGGGCGCAACUUGAUCCAGUGAUCGAAAGAAUUGGUCAAGCUGUUACGGAAGCGUUUCCAGCUUUGCAAUGUUUCACAAUUAAUUGUGAACAUUUGUAUGAAAUUUCAAAACUCGAACUACUACAACAUUUCCCAUUAUAUCUUUUUUCUCGGCGGCGCGCCGGCACUUAUGCGACGGCGGCGCGCCUCGGCGGCGGCGGCGUGUCAAAUCGGAUCGGCGUCGGCGGCGCGCCGGCGAAAAAUCGGCGGCGUGGAGCUCUGAAUUAUCAUGGAUGGGUGCUAAUUUAAUCACACCAUAUGAUCGCUGAGUUCCUUAGUUUUGCGAGGAUAUUUGGACUCCGAUCAAACCGGGUGUCUCUUGAAAAUUCCCUCUCCUCUCAAAAGACUUGACCUGAAGGCCUUCUAUCACAAAACUGGACAUCGUGCCCACGAACUGCCCUCCCUUCUACACAAAUUAUUACAGAAACAUUGCCUCACUCCGGAAAAACUUGAGUUACAUUUGGGCUCCAACGAUAAGAAGGUCGAGUGGAAAUUCCCAGCCCUUCCGGCCUUGAAGAAAUUCACAAUUUAUUUCUGCACAAUGUUUCAGAAAUUUGAGUUUGAAAGUGGUCUGGGAUCAGGAAAGAUUGAUUAUGCAGUGUGCUUCCCGGUCUUGCAGACUUUGCACAUUCAUAGCUUCGACUUCUCCACAUACUUCUUCUCUUCAUACGACUUCUCUUCUUUUAGCGCAUUUAUUCCGCCAGAAGAUGAGGAGCCAUGUCCGGUUGUGAAAUCGCUGAGAGAAUUUAAUAUCAACAUUUUCUGGUAUAAAGAAACAAACGAAUUAGCUCAAGCUGCCUUGUACCCACGAUUGGUGGACAUUUUUCCCUACGCAAAAAUAUGCAUUAAUAAUUAAUUAAAUCAUGAAAGAAAUGCAAUUUAGUACAUGUUUCUCUAUAUUUUUAUAUAAUAAAUGGAUGAAUCUUGAUAAGUUAUUAUUAAGCCUACUCCAUAAGUUAUUACGUACAGAUUUAC
This is an RNA transcript of Folsomia candida, 1900 nucleotides long. RefSeq lists it as uncharacterized. The transcript has 6 exons. The record is from RefSeq and is a predicted model, not a curated record. NCBI's taxonomy places the organism in Eukaryota, Metazoa, Arthropoda, Collembola, Entomobryomorpha, Isotomidae.